UACGAGGGGGGCAAAUGUUGUUCGGAUUUAUUGGGCGUAAAGGGUGCGUAGGCGGUUGCCUAAGUCUGGUGUGAAAUCUCGGGGCUCAACCUCGAAACUGCACUGGAUACUGGGUAACUUGAGUACUGGAGGGGAGACUGGAAUUUACGGUGUAGCAGUGAAAUGCGUAGAUAUCGUAAGGAAGACCAGUGGCGAAGGCGAGUCUCUGGACAGUUACUGACGCUGAGGCACGAAGGCCAGGGGAGCAAACGGG
This 253-nucleotide ribosomal RNA is filed under the name uncultured bacterium. RNAcentral's name for it is "partial 16S ribosomal RNA". It matches the Rfam family "Bacterial small subunit ribosomal RNA", at positions 524 to 776 of the family's 1533-position model. The record is from RNAcentral.